Molecule: ribosomal RNA, 429 nt
Filed under: Chloroflexota bacterium
Lineage: Bacteria; Bacillati; Chloroflexota
Description: Chloroflexi bacterium partial 16S ribosomal RNA
Rfam family: Bacterial small subunit ribosomal RNA
Source: RNAcentral
UGGGGAAUAUUGCACAAUGGGCGCAAGCCUGAUGCAGCCAUGCCGCGUGUGUGAAGAAGGCCUUCGGGUUGUAAAGCACUUUCAGCGGGGAGGAAGGCGUUAAGGUUAAUAACCUUGGCGAUUGACGUUACCCGCAGAAGAAGCACCGGCUAACUCCGUGCCAGCAGCCGCGGUAAUACGGAGGGUGCAAGCGUUAAUCGGAAUUACUGGGCGUAAAGCGCACGCAGGCGGUCUGUCAAGUCGGAUGUGAAAUCCCCAGGCUCAACCUGGGAACUGCAUUCGAAACUGGCAGGCUAGAGUCUUGUAGAGGGGGGUAGAAUUCCAGGUGUAGCGGUGAAAUGCGUAGAGAUCUGGAGGAAUACCGGUGGCGAAGGCGGCCCCCUGGACAAAGACUGACGCUCAGGUGCGAAAGCGUGGGGAGCAAACAGG